Molecule: long non-coding RNA, 1033 nt
Filed under: Saimiri boliviensis boliviensis (Bolivian squirrel monkey)
Lineage: Eukaryota; Metazoa; Chordata; Mammalia; Primates; Cebidae
Description: lncRNA (ENSSBOG00000036780.1)
Source: RNAcentral
GCCAGGCGGCCCGGCACCGCUACGAGGUCGUGACGGAGCUGGGCCCGGAGGAGGUGCGCUGGUUCUACAAGGAAGACAAGAAGACCUGGAAGCCCUUCAUCGGCUACGACUCGCUCCGCAUCGAGCUCGCCUUCCGGACCCUGCUGCAGGUCACGGGUGCCCGGCCUCAAGACGAGGACCGGGACGGCGACCAUGUGUGUUCCCCCGCGGGGCGGGCCUCCAGUUCCGGAGAAGACGACGAUGAGGACCGCGCCUGCGGCUUCUGCCCGCGCUCGGCGGGGCACGAGCCCGAGAUGGUGGAGCUGGUGAACAUCGAGCCUGUGUGCGUGCGGGGCGGCCUCUACGAGGUGGAUGUGACCCAAGGAGAGUGCUACCCGGUGUACUGGAACCAGGCUGAUAAAAUACCAGUAAUGCGUGGACAAUGGUUUAUUGAUGGCACUUGGCAGCCUCUAGAAGAAGAAGAAAGUAAUUUAAUUGAGCAAGAACAUCUCAAGUGUUUUAGGGGCCAGCAGAUGCAGGAAAUUUUUGAUAUUGAAGUGUCAAAAUCCAUAGAUGGAAAAGAUGUUGUCUACCACCUCCCUCCCUUCUCCCUCCCUUCUCUGUUCAAAUGGAGAGGAUUUAAGGAGAGUACAGAUGCGGCAGGUCUUAAACGAAAGCGUUCCCAAGCUAUGCAUAGUUUCAAGCUGAGUCGAAACCAUGUGGACUGGCACAGUGUGAAUGAAGUAUAUCUUUAUAGUGAUGCAACAACAUCUAAAAUUGCAAGAACAGUUACCCAAAAACUGGGAUUUUCUAAAGCAUCAAGUAGUGGGACCAGACUUCAUAGAGGUUAUGUAGAAGAAGCCACAUUAGAAGACAAGCCAUCACAGACUACCCAUAUUGUAUUUGUUGUGCAUGGCAUUGGGCAGAAAAUGGACCAAGGAAGAAUUAUCAAAAACACAGCCAUGUAAGUUCUUUGACAAAUACAGUCUAUGUCUAGUCUAGAAUUCACACUUUCGUCCAGGGUAUAAGAAAUAUUAACAGUAUACUAAUUCCA